UGCCGUCUACAGUGUACCCGCGUCUCGAGUUUGAUCCUGUUUCUCCACUCCUAUAAGGUAGGAUCGCUAAUGCACGUGGAUAACCUACCUAUAAGACUGGGAUAACUUCCGGAAACCGGAGCUAAUACCGGAUAAUAUAUUGAACCGCAUGGUUCAAUAGUGAAAGACGGUUUUGCUGUCACUUAUAGAUGGAUCCGCGCCGCAUUAGCUAGUUGGUAAGGUAACGGCUUACCAAGGCAACGAUGCGUAGCCGACCUGAGAGGGUGAUCGGCCACACUGGAACUGAGACACGGUCCAGACUCCUACGGGAGGCAGCAGUAGGGAAUCUUCCGCAAUGGGCGAAAGCCUGACGGAGCAACGCCGCGUGAGUGAUGAAGGUCUUCGGAUCGUAAAACUCUGUUAUUAGGGAAGAACAAAUGUGUAAGUAACUAUGCACGUCUUGACGGUACCUAAUCAGAAAGCCACGGCUAACUACGUGCCAGCAGCCGCGGUAAUACGUAGGUGGCAAGCGUUAUCCGGAAUUAUUGGGCGUAAAGCGCGCGUAGGCGGUUUUUUAAGUCUGAUGUGAAAGCCCACGGCUCAACCGUGGAGGGUCAUUGGAAACUGGAAAACUUGAGUGCAGAAGAGGAAAGUGGAAUUCCAUGUGUAGCGGUGAAAUGCGCAGAGAUAUGGAGGAACACCAGUGGCGAAGGCGACUUUCUGGUCUGUAACUGACGCUGAUGUGCGAAAGCGUGGGGAUCAAACAGGAUUAGAUACCCUGGUAGUCCACGCCGUAAACGAUGAGUGCUAAGUGUUAGGGGGUUUCCGCCCCUUAGUGCUGCAGCUAACGCAUUAAGCACUCCCGCCUGGGGAGUACGACCGCAAGGUUGAAACUCAAAGGAUUGACGGGGACCCGCACAAGCGUGGAGCAUGUGGUUUAAUUCGAAGCAACGCGAAGAACCUUACCAAAUCUUGACAUCCUCUGACCCCUCUAGAGAUAGAGUUUUCCCCUUCGGGGGACAGAGU
This 1005-nucleotide ribosomal RNA is filed under the name Staphylococcus sp. A8.3. RNAcentral describes it as "bacterial SSU rRNA". It matches the Rfam family "Bacterial small subunit ribosomal RNA", at positions 45 to 1032 of the family's 1533-position model. Lineage: Bacteria; Bacillati; Bacillota; Bacilli; Caryophanales; Staphylococcaceae. The record is from RNAcentral.